GGGUCGGUGGCAGAGCGGUCAAAUGCACCAGUCUGUAAAACUGGAGUCCUUUGGACUACGAAGGUUCGAAUCCUUCCCGGCCCA
RNAcentral lists this transfer RNA (84 nucleotides) under Candidatus Portnoybacteria bacterium RBG_13_40_8. RNAcentral describes it as "tRNA-Tyr". It matches the Rfam family "tRNA". From Rfam's summary of the family: Transfer RNA (tRNA) molecules are approximately 80 nucleotides in length. Their secondary structure includes four short double-helical elements and three loops (D, anti-codon, and T loops). Further hydrogen bonds mediate the characteristic L-shaped molecular structure. tRNAs have two regions of fundamental functional importance: the anti-codon, which is responsible for specific mRNA codon recognition, and the 3' end, to which the tRNAs corresponding amino acid is attached (by aminoacyl-tRNA synthetases). tRNAs cope with the degeneracy of the genetic code in two manners: having more than one tRNA (with a specific anti-codon) for a particular amino acid; and 'wobble' base-pairing, i.e. permitting non-standard base-pairing at the 3rd anti-codon position. The record is from RNAcentral. Lineage: Bacteria; Candidatus Portnoyibacteriota. RNAcentral also lists the same sequence under 1 other name.